AGACCCGAAACCCGGUGAUCUAGCCAUGGGCAGGUUGAAGGUUGGGUAACACUAACUGGAGGACCGAACCGACUAAUGUUGAAAAAUUAGCGGAUGACCUGUGGCUGGGGGUGAAAGGCCAAUCAAACCGGGAGAUAGCUGGUUCUCCCCGAAAGCUAUUUAGGUAGCGCCUCGUGAAUUCAUCUCCGGGGGUAGAGCACUGUUUCGGCUAGGGGGCCAUCCCGGCUUACCAACCCGAUGCAAACUGCGAAUACCGGAGAAUGUUAUCACGGGAGACACACGGCGGGUGCUAACGUCCGUCGUGAAGAGGGAAACAACCCAGACCGCCAGCUAAGGUCCCAAAGUCAUGGUUAAGUGGGAAACGAUGUGGGAAGGCCCAGACAGCCAGGAUGUUGGCUUAGAAGCAGCCAUCAUUUAAAGAAAGCGUAAUAGCUCACUGGUCGAGUCGGCCUGCGCGGAAGAUGUAACGGGGCUAAACCAUGCACCGAAGCUGCGGCAGCGACGCUUAUGCGUUGUUGGGUAGGGGAGCGUUCUGUAAGCCUGUGAAGGUGUGUCGUGAGGCAUGCUG
RNAcentral lists this ribosomal RNA (568 nucleotides) under Salmonella enterica. Its description in RNAcentral is "partial 23S ribosomal RNA". It matches the Rfam family "Bacterial large subunit ribosomal RNA", at positions 711 to 1275 of the family's 2925-position model. RNAcentral also lists the same sequence under 2 other names. Lineage: Bacteria; Pseudomonadati; Pseudomonadota; Gammaproteobacteria; Enterobacterales; Enterobacteriaceae. The record is from RNAcentral.